Molecule: ribosomal RNA, 497 nt
Filed under: uncultured bacterium
Lineage: Bacteria
Description: partial 16S ribosomal RNA
Rfam family: Bacterial small subunit ribosomal RNA
Source: RNAcentral
GAUGAACGCUGGCGGCGUGCCUAAUACAUGCAAGUCGAACGGAAAGACACUGAGCUUGUUCCUUUGACGUUAGCGGCGGGCGGGUGAGUAACGCGUGGAUCACCUACUUAUAUUUCGGGGAUCAUUACGGAAAACCGGCUCUUAUACCAGAGAACAUGUUGCACCGCUGGGUGCAACGGUGAAUGACGGUGUUUGUGUCAGUUAUAGAUGGUUCCGCGCUGGAUUAGGUAGUUGGUAAGGUAAAGGCCUACCAAGGCGACGAUGCGUAGCCGAGCGGAGAGGGUGAUCGGCCACACUGGAACUGAGACACGGUCCAGACUCCUACGGGAGGCAGCAGUAGGGAAUCUUCGGCAAUGGGCGAAAGCCUGACAGAGCAACGCCGCGUGGGUGAAGAAGGCCUUCGGAUCGUAAAGCCCUGUUAUUGGGGAAGAACAGAUGUGGAAGUAAACGUGGCCGUCUUGACGGUACCGAAUCAGAAAGCAACGGCUAACUACGUG